GUGACACGGAACCCUUUGGGAGUCUGCUGAAGCCUAUGGAUGGACCUUUCUUCAGAAUCCUGGUUUUAAAUUCAAACGAGAACGAAAAUACGAAACCAAAUACAUAGGAUUCCAAGGGAAACCGAUUGUAAAGAACCAGCUAUAUAUGCAUACGUAUGUCAUAUACCUGUAUAUGGACUUAUAUGAUACGUGUGUAUAUGUGCACAUAUGUAUACGUGUGUGUGUGUCUGCAGACGUGUUCAUAAAGGUCAGGAACACCUUGGGGAGGUUUUCCUCCCCUAGAGAGAGCUCUGGACUUUGGGCAAGCAAAGGGCUUUCUUGAGCAUGCGCAGAAUCCGCGGGCUGCCGAACUACGUUUCCCAGAAGGCUGUGCAGACCCAGAAGGCGAGUUGGAUUCGUGCCACGUGACUCGUUCGCCCCGGAAAUCAAACUCCCCCCCCCCCCCCCGGCUGAACAGUCCUCGCCCGUUCGUAGGUGGCUGGAAUCUGCUCCGGCGCGGAGGAGUCUGGGGAAUGCGUUGUCCCGCAGCUGGAAACCGAGCUCUGAUUUCUGAGGACUCUGCCCUUCCCCAGUGGGUGUGGACAUCGAGUAGAAGACAAUGGUCCCAGUGGUCCUGCCCACCAGCAGUCACCAGGUAUGUGAGGGGAACAUCUUCCUUAGAUUAUCAACCUGUUUCUUUUUGAUAUUGGGUGAUCCCAGAUGCAGUCUUACUGCCUUUCAUUUCUUGCACAAAAAACCUUUCCAUUCCAUUGACUUCUGAGAAACAUUAUCCAAAAUGAGCAUUACUCUCUGCCAACAAGACCAGAAAACAAUGAAGUGGUGCCUACAGUGCUUGUUCAGGUGGGUUGGACUAGAUGGCUUCUGAGCACCCUUUUCCUUCUUAAAUUUCAUGAUUCUGUGAAAACCAGCCUUGACCUCUUGAGUCCCUGUUGGGAAGGGGCCCUGAAGAUGCAGAAAUAGAAUUGGUAUUUCAGGAAUCAGUGACCUUCAAGGACGUGGCUGUGGACUUCACCUGGGAGGAGUGGGGACGCCUGCGCCCUGCCCAGAAGCAGCUGUAUAGGGAUGUGAUGCUGGAGAACUACAGGAACCUGGUCUGGCUGGGUAAGGAUGCUCCCCAGGGACUCAGACUCUUUGUAGUGGGGAACUUUUGCUUCCUUCCAUACUGAAUGCUGUGGCUUCUCUCCUGUGUUUAUCAGUUCUUGUUUCUUAUGCAGAAAUUCUAGGUUGCCCAUCAUUUUGUGGCCACGUCACAGGCUGCUUCUGCCUGUGUCCAGGUGAAAGACAUUGGCAGGUUCAUUGUGUGGUCCUGAGGUUCUUCCUGUGUUGUUCCUUUUCCCCUCAAGUCCGAGAUCCUUCCUUAAAUUUCCUGUGUAGAUAUUGGAGACAUGGAAGGUUCCCAUGGUCUUGGGGGGUCCUUUCUGGGGCCAGGUUCACUCCUUAAUGCAUUCUCCUGUACGUCCUAGGAGCCCAGGUCAGUGGUCCUUUGUCCCUCUCUUUAGGCCUUCCUGGCAUUCCCAUUUUUCCCUGUGAGAGAUGGUCCAAAUUCUGAGCCAGCUUUCUGAACCAGCAUCUUUGCAUUCCCAUGUGCAGGACUAGCAGUUUCUAAACCAGCUGUGAUUGGUCAUUUGGAGCGAGGGGAAGUGGUUUGGGUGUCCGAGGGAGAGGGCCCAAGAAGCACCUGUGCAGGUGAGUGAGUGCAAAGCAGGUGAGUCGCUAUCAGCAACAUCCCAGCUGGUUGUUUGGAGAAGGGCCUCUGACAGGCUUGGUCAGGGAUUUCUCACAGCUCCUGAGGUCGCUGUGGAGCAGAGCUGAGGCCGUCUGGGAUGGGCUGCUUCCCAGAGCCUCAUCUUCUGCUGGUUUGUCCCUCCAGUCUCAGGGGAGGGUGUCGAGAAAGGAGAGAGUUUUCUCUUUCACCAUUUUAGUGCCUGACCUGCUCCUCAGGAGCCCUUCUGCUUCUCCAUUCAUGAACGUUGCGUGUGUCUCUGUUGUUCUGUGAAUACUAACUAAUGAAAAUAAAGAGUUCAGCCAUGCUGAUCA
Molecule: long non-coding RNA, 2037 nt
Organism: Phascolarctos cinereus (koala)
Lineage: Eukaryota; Metazoa; Chordata; Mammalia; Diprotodontia; Phascolarctidae
Source: Ensembl